This 84-nucleotide small nucleolar RNA is filed under the name Periophthalmus magnuspinnatus. RNAcentral describes it as "Small nucleolar RNA SNORD60 (ENSPMGG00000016421.1)". Lineage: Eukaryota; Metazoa; Chordata; Actinopteri; Gobiiformes; Gobiidae. The record is from RNAcentral.
CUCCAAUGAUGAAACAUUAAAAUUUUUCUGACACCUCAUAUGAGAGCUGUACUGGCUCCUGAUUCUACAUUUUUUCUGAGAAUU